UUCCGGUGAAAAUGCCGGAUACCCGCAGGAGGACGGAAAGACCCCGUGAACCUUUACUGUAGCCUGAUAUGGGCGUUUGGUUUGUUAUGUGUAGCAUAGCUGGGAGACUUUGAACCCAUCUCGUCAGGGAUGGGGGAGUCAACAGUGAAAUACCAGUCUUGACAAGGCGGACGUCUAACCUGAGCCCGUGAAACCGGGACAGGGACAAUGUCAGAGGGUCAGUUUGACUGGGGCGGUUUCCUCCCAAACAGUAACGGAGGAGUUCGAAGGUUCCCUCAGCAUGGUUAGCAAUCAUGCGUCGAGCGCAAUGGUAUAAGGGAGCUUAACUGCGAGACUUACAAGUCGAGCAGAUGCGAAAGCAGGACAUAGUGAUCCGGUGGACGCUCGUGGUAGUGCCAUCGCUCAACGGACAAAAGGUACUCCGGGGAUAACAGGCUGAUCGCUGCCGAGAGUUCAUAUCGACGCAGCGGUUUGGCACCUCGAUGUCGGCUCAUCGCAUCCUGGGGCUGGAGAAGGUCCCAAGGGUUUGGCUGUUCGCCAAUUAAAGCGGUACGCGAGCUGGGUUCAGAACGUCGUAAGACAGUUCGGUCCUUAUCCUCUGUGGGCGUAGGAGAUUUGAGGAGAACAUUCCAUAGUACGAGAGGACCUGGAAUGACAUACCUCUGGUGUUCCAGCUGUUCCGCCAGGAGCAUCGCUGGGUAGCUAUGUAUGGAACGGAUAAGCGCUGAAAGCAUCUAAGCGCCAAGCCUCCUCCAAGACUAGAUCUCCCGGACCGCAAGGUCCCUAAAGGCAGGUUGAAGACUACGACCUUGAUAGGCCGGAUGUGAAAGUUUGGUGACAAACUGAGCUUACCGGUACUAAUCCGCCGUGUGGUUUGACCUUAU
RNAcentral lists this ribosomal RNA (884 nucleotides) under Lentisphaerae bacterium RIFOXYB12_FULL_60_10. RNAcentral describes it as "bacterial LSU rRNA". It matches the Rfam family "Bacterial large subunit ribosomal RNA", at positions 2048 to 2925 of the family's 2925-position model. Lineage: Bacteria; Pseudomonadati; Lentisphaerota. The record is from RNAcentral.